UACGUAGGGUGCGAGCGUUAAUCGGAAUUACUGGGCGUAAAGGGCGCGUAGGCGGCCUGCUAAGUCGGACGUGAAAUCCCUCGGCUCAACCGAGGAACUGCGUCCGAUACUGGUGGGCUUGAAUCCGGGAGAGGGAUGUGGAAUUCCAGGUGUAGCGGUGAAAUGCGUAGAGCUCGGGAAGAACAUCGGUGGCGAAAGCGCUCUGCUGGACUGCAACUGACACUCAGGGACGAAAGCUAGGGGAGCGAAUGGG
This 253-nucleotide ribosomal RNA is filed under the name uncultured bacterium. Its description in RNAcentral is "partial 16S ribosomal RNA". It matches the Rfam family "Bacterial small subunit ribosomal RNA", at positions 524 to 776 of the family's 1533-position model. The record is from RNAcentral.